This 259-nucleotide ribosomal RNA is filed under the name uncultured bacterium. RNAcentral describes it as "partial 16S ribosomal RNA". It matches the Rfam family "Bacterial small subunit ribosomal RNA", at positions 793 to 1055 of the family's 1533-position model. The record is from RNAcentral.
GUCCACGCAGUAAACUAUGAUUACUAGUUGUUUGCGAUAUGAUAGCAAGUGACUAAGCGAAAGCGAUAAGUAAUCCACCUGGGGAGUACGCCGGCAACGGUGAACUCAAAGGAAUUGACGGGGGCCCGCACAAGCGGAGGAACAUGUGGUUUAAUUCGAUGAUACGCGAGGAACCUUACCCGGGCUUGAAAUGCAUCUGACUGUAGUGGAAACAUUACUUCUAGCAAUAGCAGAUGUGUAGGUGCUGCAUGGUUGUCGU